This 28-nucleotide small RNA is filed under the name Bombyx mori (domestic silkworm). RNAcentral describes it as "ovarian small RNA-24869". The record is from RNAcentral. Lineage: Eukaryota; Metazoa; Arthropoda; Insecta; Lepidoptera; Bombycidae.
UCAAUGCAGGAGCAAACCUAGAUGUAAU